CCUACGGGGGGCAGCAGUGAGGAAUAUUGGUCAAUGGGCGAGAGCCUGAACCAGCCAAGUCGCGUGAAGGAUGACGGCCCUACGGGUUGUAAACUUCUUUUGUCAGGGAGCAAUUGGGUCCACGCGUGGGCUUAGCGAGAGUACCUGAAGAAAAAGCAUCGGCUAACUCCGUGCCAGCAGCCGCGGUAAUACGGAGGAUUCGAGCGUUAUCCGGAUUUAUUGGGUUUAAAGGGUGCGUAGGCGGGUUGUUAAGUCAGUUGGGAAAGUUGGGGGCCCAACCGUCGAACUGCAAUUGAAACUGGCAGUCUUGAGUACAGGAGAGGUAGGCGGAAUGCGUGGUGUAGCGGUGAAAUGCUUAGAUAUCACGCAGAACCCCGAUUGCGAAGGCAGCUUACUAGCCUGUGACUGACACUGAGGCUCGAAAGCGUGGGUAUCGAACAGGAUUAGAUACCCGGGUAGUC
RNAcentral lists this ribosomal RNA (461 nucleotides) under uncultured bacterium. RNAcentral describes it as "partial 16S ribosomal RNA". It matches the Rfam family "Bacterial small subunit ribosomal RNA", at positions 338 to 795 of the family's 1533-position model. The record is from RNAcentral.